CCUACGGGGGGCUGCAGUGGGGAAUUUUGGACAAUGGGGGCAACCCUGAUCCAGCCAUGCCGCGUGAGUGAAGAAGGCCUUCGGGUUGUAAAGCUCUUUCGGCCGGGAAGAAAUCGCGCCAGCUAAUACCUGGUGUGGAUGACGGUACCGGAAGAAGAAGCACCGGCUAACUACGUGCCAGCAGCCGCGGUAAUACGUAGGGUGCGAGCGGUGCGCGGAGUUACCGGGCGUAAAGCUUGAAGACACGGGUGAAAUCCCCGGGCUUAACCUGGGAACUGCGCUUGUGACUGCAAGACUUGAGUGCGGCAGAGGGGGGUGGAAUUCCACGUGUAGCAGUGAAAUGCGUAGAGAUGUGGAGGAACACCGAUGGCGAAGGCAGCCCCCUGGGUCGACACUGACGCUCAUGCACGAAAGCGUGGGGAGCAAACAGGAUUAGAUACCCCAGUAGUC
RNAcentral lists this ribosomal RNA (450 nucleotides) under uncultured bacterium. RNAcentral describes it as "partial 16S ribosomal RNA". It matches the Rfam family "Bacterial small subunit ribosomal RNA", at positions 338 to 795 of the family's 1533-position model. The record is from RNAcentral.